GCCUACGGGGGGCAGCAGUGAGGAAUAUUGGUCAAUGGGCGGGAGCCUGAACCAGCCAAGCCGCGUGAGGGAAGAAGGUACAGCGUAUCGUAAACCUCUUUUGUCAGGGAACAAAGGCGGGGACUAGUCCCCGGAUGAGGGUACCUGAAGAAAAAGCAUCGGCUAACUCCGUGCCAGCAGCCGCGGUAAUACGGAGGAUGCGAGCGUUAUCCGGAUUUAUUGGGUUUAAAGGGUGCGCAGGCGGAGAAAUAAGUCUGAUGUGAAAGCCCACGGCUCAACCGGGGAACUGAAUCGGAAACUGUUUU
RNAcentral lists this ribosomal RNA (305 nucleotides) under uncultured bacterium. Its description in RNAcentral is "bacterial SSU rRNA". It matches the Rfam family "Bacterial small subunit ribosomal RNA", at positions 337 to 639 of the family's 1533-position model. The record is from RNAcentral.